AGCUCCAAUAGCGUAUAUUAAAGUUGCUGCAGUUAAAAAGCUCGUAGUUGCAUUUCCGAGGCAAGGGAUUAGUCCGACCUUUGGUGGGUAUUUAAUCCUCUUGCCUCGUCCUUGAGUGGUGCUUCUUGGUAUUAAGUUAUCGAGGAGAUAGCCGCUCAUCGUUUACUGUGAGAAAAUUAGAGUGUUCAAAGCAGGCUUAUGCCGUUGAAUAUAUUAGCAUGGAAUAAUAAGAUAGGACCUCGGUACUAUUUUGUUGUUUUUAGAACCAAGGUAAUGAUGAAUAGGGACAGUUGGGGGUAUUCGUAUUCAGUUGUCAGAGGUGAAAUUCUUAGAUUUACGGAAGACGAACUACUGCGAAAGCAUUUACCAAGGAUGUUUUCA
This 381-nucleotide ribosomal RNA is filed under the name uncultured marine Chaetocerotaceae. RNAcentral's name for it is "SSU rRNA". It matches the Rfam family "Eukaryotic small subunit ribosomal RNA", at positions 587 to 972 of the family's 1831-position model. The record is from RNAcentral. Lineage: Eukaryota; Bacillariophyta; Thalassiosirophyceae; Chaetocerotales; Chaetocerotaceae.